GGAUGUGAGGGCAAUCUGGCUGCGACAUCUGUCACCCAGGGUUGAUUUGGCUGAUCUGGCUGGCUAGGUGGGUUUCCCCUUCCUCCCUUCGGCCAAGGGUAUACAGGUAGCUGCACUUCCCUGCUAGAACCUCCAAACAAACUCUCAAGAAUAGGAAAGCUUCCAAAGGAGGGGAUGGGAUACGGAACUCUGGUGGUGGGAAUUGUGUGGAAUCAUACAAUCUUACAGUCUUGUCAAU
RNAcentral lists this small nuclear RNA (238 nucleotides) under Erinaceus europaeus (western European hedgehog). RNAcentral's name for it is "7SK RNA". It matches the Rfam family "7SK RNA", at positions 1 to 297 of the family's 331-position model. From Rfam's summary of the family: 7SK was discovered as an abundant small nuclear RNA in the mid-70s but a possible function has only recently been suggested. Two independent studies have found that 7SK RNA binds the CDK9/cyclin T complex (known as elongation factor P-TEFb). Lineage: Eukaryota; Metazoa; Chordata; Mammalia; Eulipotyphla; Erinaceidae. The record is from Rfam by way of RNAcentral.